UGUUCUGUUAUUUUCUUUUUGGGGUCUGUCUUGCAGACUUAUACCCAGAGAGAACUUGCUGCAAGACAGACCCCAAAAAGAAAAUAACAGAACA
RNAcentral lists this microRNA precursor (94 nucleotides) under Podarcis lilfordi (Lilford's wall lizard). The record is from RNAcentral. Lineage: Eukaryota; Metazoa; Chordata; Lepidosauria; Squamata; Lacertidae.